Molecule: ribosomal RNA, 490 nt
Filed under: uncultured bacterium
Lineage: Bacteria
Description: partial 16S ribosomal RNA
Rfam family: Bacterial small subunit ribosomal RNA
Source: RNAcentral
AUUGAACGCUGGCGGCAUGCCUUACACAUGCAAGUCGAACGGCAGCAUGAUCUAGCUUGCUAGAUUGAUGGCGAGUGGCGAACGUGUGAGUAAUACAUCGGAACGUGCCCUGUGGUGGGGGAUAACUAGUCGACAGAUUAACCAAUACCGCAUACGACCUGAGGGUGAAAGUGGGGGAGCGCAAGGCCUCAUGCUAUAGGCUAGGCCGAUGUCUGAUUAGCUAGUUGGUGAGGUAAAGGCUCACCAAGGCGACGAUCAGUAGCUGGUCUGAGAGGAGGAUCAGCCACACUGGAACUGAGACACGGCCCAGACUCCUACGGGAGGCAGCAGUGGGGAAUUUUGGACAAUGGGCGAAAGCCUGAUCCAGCAAUGCCGCGUGUGUGAAGAAGGCCUUCGGAUUGUAAAGCACUUUUGGCCGGAAAGAAAUGGCUCUGGUUAAUACCUGGGGUUGAUGACGUUACCGGAAGAAUAAGGACCGGCUAACUACGUG